Molecule: unclassified non-coding RNA, 4352 nt
Filed under: Homarus americanus (American lobster)
Lineage: Eukaryota; Metazoa; Arthropoda; Malacostraca; Decapoda; Nephropidae
Description: vesicle-associated membrane protein 2-like, transcript variant X12
Source: RNAcentral
UAGUUGGAAGGGAGGUGACCAAUGAGAGGAGGUGAGGCCUGAGAGUGCGCACAACUCACCCCAGCUGCCAUUUUACUUUGGGUAUCAGUUAAUUUGGGGCUCACUUUCACAGGAAAUGUCAGCCGAGGGUGGUGCGGCAGCGGCAGGGGGUGCUGCCCCUGGAGGCGAUCCCCCCACAGGAGAGAAUGGCGAGAUUGUGGGGGGACCCCGCGGACCACAGCAGAUCGCAGCACAGAAACGAAUGCAACAGACACAAGCACAAGUUGAUGAGGUUGUUGGAAUAAUGAGAGUCAACGUGGAGAGAGUUUUGGAACGUGAUCAGAGAAUAUCAGAGCUAGAUGACCGAGCAGAUGCCCUCCAACAAGGAGCCUCACAAUUUGAACAACAGGCCGGCAAACUAAAGAGGAAAAUGUGGUGGAAGAACCUCAAGAUGAUGAUCAUUAUGGGCGUCAUCGGUAUUAUCGUCCUCAUCAUCAUUGUUGUUUACUUCAUGUAAAUCGCCGUGUAUCAAUGUCUUCUGUAUGUGCGCUCUUGAAACAAAAACAAGUUUGGGCCGUAAACGACUCGGAGUGAAGACGUGCAGCUGGGCUAAGACGAGAAGAACGGUGAAGCAAUACAAUGACUGGUGGAUGUAAAUUGUUAGGUUUCGAUUGAUUGCCCGUGUACAUAUAAUCUAUGAAUCAUCUAUGUCAACACCCAUGGUAUCAGUGUAGUGACAGAAGUACCACAUAAUGAUGUUCACUAAAUGGCUAGUAUGCUACCAGCAGAUUCAGCAUCUUAUGACUAGGGUCUCAUCAGAAUAUUUUACUUCAUCAUCAACUUAGACUUUCAGUAAGAAUUUUGCCUAUUAAGAUACUAUCAUACAUAUUUACCUUUUUGUAAUUAUUAAUAUCUUGCUAGUCAUUCGAUUUGGCACUGAUUAUAUAUAUAUAUAAUAUAUAUAUAUAUAUAUAUAUAUAUAUAUAUAUAUAUAUAUAUAUAUAUAUAUAUAUAUAUAUAUAUAUAUAUAUAUAUAUAUAUAUAUAUAUAUAUAUAUAUAUAUUAUAUUUAUAUAUAUAUAUUGAUACUUGUUUCUUGUCCAUUAUCCUAUUUGUCAUUAAUAUUUUUCUUGUAAAGGGCCUUUCCUGAGUCUGCCAUGAUGGUCAUAAAUCCUGUGUUUAAGAGAUCCUUAUUUUUCUUAGUCUUGGUUAUGUAAGGCCCUCUCCUGGAACAGCCCUAUUUCAUCAUUCCACACCAUUAGUGUGUAACAAGUUUUAAUGUUUUCUGCUCAUUUUGCAAAGGGAAGUUUCCACAGCUUCUAUCAUUACAGUCCCAGAGAGGAAGGACCUGUGUCAAGCGUUACCAGACUUAUGAUGCCCGAUUGGCAAGAACUCACCAGUGGUUAGAGUACUGUAUGUGCCUUCUGCAGUUGCUUGUAAAUUCUCCUCCAGUCCACAGGUUCCUCCUGUCUGGUCAAGUUAUUUUUAAGUGCAUAGAAGGAAUGCAUUGGUGUCAUAGCAGGAGGCAAGCCAAGAACAAGUGAUACCCUCAGGGAGCUGUGUUGCCAGUUGGUACCUCUGGGUGUGUGUUUUGUUGCUCUCGUACUGGGUUGGUGCUAAUGUAUCAUAUAAUAAUUUAUAAUGUAUUGUAUAUUGUAAGUGUCAACAAAGUACGAGUGAGGUAAACAGUGCUAUGAGGGCUGUAGCUGGUAUCAUGGGUUGUUGCUUAAGUUUUGGGGGCCUCCUGAUUAUGACCCAAAAACUCGGAUUAAAGUGCCCAAGUUAUUGUAUCAUAAUAUCCCCAAAGACUUUAUGGCUUGUUAGAUGGUGUGUGAAUAGGCUUGGUAUAACCCCAUGUUUACAUCCAGAAGCCUAAUGGUUAAUUAUUAACAAUUAUUAUUCUUUAGGAGUCCAACAUAUCUACUGCUCUUUAGUGAUGUAUCAAAGUAGAAGUAAUAUUACUCUGUUAAACGUGAAAUAUAGUGUGUUUAUGUCUGUAAUCUUUUUAUUGUGCCCUUUACUGCUAUGCCGCUGUGAUGAUGGUCAGAAGGAUGGUUCAUUAAGCUGCUCUUACAGUUACAUAGGAGUUGCACAUUAUUAUUUUUGUUAUAUUGUUUCGAGUAUCAGAAAAGAUUGGAGGCCAAAUCAUUUAGUUGUUAAACAGUUGAACCAAGGAAGCUUCAUAUUAGAUGGAAAUGGUUGAUAUUAUCGGGGAAUGCAUACAUAUUAAUGGUUACCUUCAAGGUCAAAACUUUUUGUUUGUGAAACUUUUCUUUUAAAGAAAUUGAAAGGAAUAGCCAUUCUCCAUUGUUGUGGGUAACCUUUGAGUUGUGUGCUGUAUUUUGGUUCUACAUAAUUGAUUAAUUCGUGGAUAGAAAUUAUUUUGUUGUUCAUUAAGGAAAAUAUUAAAGGAUUGUGGUAUCCUUCAUUUCGAUGUAAGGUUUUUUUUAAUUAACAUGUUUUCAGUUAAUAAUGCCAUCCUGAUGCAAAGUACUUUCAAGGUCUAAAUUAUGUUCAAAGACAAAUGUAGAGGCAAGAUGAUGAUGAUUGUACCUGUGCAUUACUGCAGUACACCUUCAUAAUGUGAAUACUGGUAGUAUUCUCUUCAUAUACAUUCAGAUGAAUACAUAACACUGCAUUCAGUCUUGCAUACACAGGUGUUUUUGUAAUACGUAUAUCCAGAAUUUUUUUUACUGACUAGGUUACGUGUUGCAUAUUCUUGGUAGAUUAUGCCAACAAUGACUCCUUAAAUCUUCAUGUAGUAACAUUGAGUAUCAUUUGUUCCCCAUGAAGUAACACUGACUUAUUUGUUCCCCAUGAAGUAACACUGACUAUUAUUUGUUCCCCAUGAAGCAACACUGACUUAUUUGUUCCCCAUGAAGUAACACUGACUAUUAUUUGUUCCCCAUGAAGCAACACUGACUUAUUUGUUCCCCAUGAAGUAACACUGACUAUUAUUUGUUCCCCAUGAAGUAACACUGACUUAUUUGUUCCCCAUGAAGUAACACUGACUAUUAUUUGUUCUCCAUGAAGUAACACUGACUAUUAUUUGUUCCCCAUGAAGCAACACCGACUUAUUUGUUCCCCAUGAAGUAACACUGACUAUCAUUUGUUCUCCAUGAAGUAACACUGACUAUUAUUUGUUCCCCAUGAAGUAACACUGACUUAUUUGUUCCCCAUGAAGCAACACUGACUUAUUUGUUCCCCAUGAAGCAACACUGACUUAUUUGUUCCCCAUGAAGCAACACUGACUAUUAUUUGUUCUCCAUGAAGUAACACUGACUAUUAUUUGUUCCCCAUGAAGUAACACUGACUUAUUUGUUCCCCAUGAAGUAACACUGACUAUUAUUUGUUCCCCAUGAAGUAACACUGACUUAUUUGUUCCCCAUGAAGCAACACUGACUUAUUUGUUCCUCAUGAAGUAACACUGACUAUCAUUUGUUCACCAUGAAGUAACACUGACUAUUAUUUGUUCCCCAUGAAGCAACACUGACUUAUUUGUUCCCCAUGAAGUAACACUGACUAUUAUUUGUUCUACAUGAAGCAACACUGAUAGUGAUUAAUAAUGUAGCACUCUUCACCAUAGUACAUAGCAUUAAUAUCAUUAUUUCUCCAUCAACUUCUAGGAACCCCAAAAUAUUAACUAUAGUUCCUCAUUCUUCCACCCAUAUCCCAUUGAUUCCCAGAUUCCUUUUCUUCAGUAGUGCCUCCAUAUGUGUGUGUAUGUAUGUGAAAUUUACUGUACAUUUAUAUACAUCCAAGUGUUUGUGAACAAGAAAUAUAUUAAUUAUUCCUGGAUGAUAAGUUUUGUCGUUAAACAUUGAAGCUUUUAAAUGUCAUCUUGUUUGUUGUACUUUAGGUUAAACCACAGUUGUCCACAUGUUUACAUUUUCCAUUUUAGUGUAUCCAUCCAUAUUGAUGUAACCCACAUUAUGUUGGUCUCAUAUUGAUGUAACCAAUUUUAAAAGUUGUUCAUCCAUCUUGGUGUGUAGCCCACAAUUUUUCUGUGCUUGUUGACAGAACCCACUUAAAGCUGUCCUCCCAUGUUGACAACCCACUUUAAGCUGUCCACCUAUGUUGACAAAACCCACUUUAAGCUGUCCACCUAUGUUGACAUAACCCACUUUAAGCUGUCCACCUAUGUUGACAUAACCCACUUUAAGCUGUCCACCUAUGUUGACAUAACCCACUUUAAGCUGUCCUAUGUUGACAUAAUCCACUUUCAGCUGUCUACCCAUAUUCACAUAACCCACAUUAAUGUGUCCACCUACUGUAUACUGCCCAGACUCAUGUGUUGACUCUUAUUGAUGUAACUCAUGUUUAAUGUAUCUACCCAUUUUGACAUAACUUGUAUUAAAUUGUCCAUCAAUUUGA